CCUACGGGUGGCUGCAGUAACGAAUCUUCCGCAAUGCACGAAAGUGUGACGGAGCGACGCCGCGUGGAGGACGAAGUCCCUCGGGAUGUAAACUCCUGUCAGGGGCCACCGGGGCCCCAGAGGAAGGCACGGCUAACUCUGUGCCAGCAGCCGCGGUAAGACAGAGGUGCCGAGCGUUAGGCGGAAUCACUGGGCUUAAAGCGUGUGUAGGCGGACCGUUAAGUGUCUUGUGAAAUCCCACGGCUCAACCGUGGAACGGCUGGGCAUACUGGCGGUCUUGAGAGACCUAGGGGCGAGCGGAACAGGCGGUGGAGCGGUGAAAUGCGUAGAUAUCGCCUGGAACGCCGACGGUGAAAACAGCUCGCUGGGGUCUCUGACGCUGAGACACGAAAGCCAGGGGAGCGAACGGGAUUAGAUACCCUUGUAGUC
This 429-nucleotide ribosomal RNA is filed under the name uncultured bacterium. Its description in RNAcentral is "partial 16S ribosomal RNA". It matches the Rfam family "Bacterial small subunit ribosomal RNA", at positions 338 to 795 of the family's 1533-position model. The record is from RNAcentral.